AACCUGGGACAAUGGGGGAAACCCUGACCCAGCCAUCCCGCUUGAAUGCUGUUGACCAUCGGGUUGUAAAGUACUUUUGGCAGAGAAGAAAAGGUAUCCCCUACUACGCGAUACUGCUGUCGGUAUCUGAAGAUUAAGCACCGGCUAACUCCGUGCCAGCAGCCGCGGUAAUACGUAGGGUGCAAUCGUUAAUCGGAAUUACUGGGCGUAAAGCGUGUGUAGGCGGUUCGGAAAGAAAGAUGUGAAAUCCCAGGGCGCAACCUUGGAACUGCAUUUUUAACUGCCGAGCUAGAGUAUGUCAGAGGGGGGUAGAAUUCCACGUGUAGCAGUGAAAUGCGUAGAUAUGUGGAGGAAUACCGAUGGCGAAGGCAGCCCCCUGGGAUAAUACUGACGCUCAGACACGAAAGCGUGGGGAGCAAACAGG
This 424-nucleotide ribosomal RNA is filed under the name uncultured bacterium. Its description in RNAcentral is "partial 16S ribosomal RNA". It matches the Rfam family "Bacterial small subunit ribosomal RNA", at positions 360 to 776 of the family's 1533-position model. The record is from RNAcentral.